CCGCUCUCUCUUUUUGGUUUGCUUUUUUGCUUUUUUCACGCCUUCACGAGCUCCGGGCGAUUCAGAACAUUUUUUCUGAUUUCUCUUAGUGUUGUGAAAGUGCUGCAGUGCAGCAUUUCUUGACCCUCUUCUCCUUUUGUUUUGUUAAUCACACUGUACUUAGGGCGGGUCUUGAGUGUUCCGUUUUUGGUAGGAUGUGCGGAUGUUGUGGUCAAUACCAAAUCUCACUAUUGUUGUUCAUUUAGUAAUUAUUUUCUUAGUGCAAUAUUACGACUGGAGCGAUCACUUAGGAUCUUGUCGCUCCCUCCCUGCCUUGUUAUUGUGAAGCGAUGUUCAAAUGAGUUGCCUUUUGUAGUGGGAAGCGACAACUCAAGUGCCAAUCUAGGCUUGCUGCAAAAUUCUUCACGGCGCAAUUACUCUUGGCAUGGUCCUGUAUUCUUUUGUACUGAUAAGAGCAACGGCGUUGAUUUUUUUGCUGAAACAAAGGCGUACUGCAACAUUGCUUGAAUUUUUAAUCACAAGCAUCCUGUUUUUACAAGUACGAAGUGGUAGAACUCGUGUACAAAAAUUGAAUUCUAUCAAUUCUUGGAAGGAAUUCAGAAGGGUGUCAAGCGAAUAAGCGCUUGAGCAUCAUGUUGAGCGUAGAUGAUCUUAGAUGUAGAAGUUGGAUCUUAUUACGAUUCCAUAUUACCAUCUAAUAUAUUACAUUCUUGUGCAAUCACCUUGGAACAUCAAAACCAUCAAUUAGGCGGUAAGCAAAUGCAGUGCAUUGAAGGGAUUGGAUUCCUCUAACCACAUGAGUUGAGAACCUACUAAAGGCGUGGCAAGGAUCGAGAGUCAUUGCUCAACAAUAACCAUUAAAAUCUUGAAUGUAGGAGACAUUCGGGGUUCUUCCAUACUAGGACCAAGUAAUUGUGGUAAGCAGAGCACUUCUCUAGGUCCUUGGAAAUUGUGCAAGGAUUGUGGGCUUCCAAAAAUUCAAGUAUCAACAUUGGAUGUAAGCAAGAAAACUAGAUUGUGUGGCUAGGUUGACGACAAUCCACUAGGUUCUUCUUCUUGGUGAUUACAACCCAACAACUGCUGCUACAAAUUCUCGCCAUUGACUACAAUAGGCACAUUACAGAUCUUGAUAGGCGGAAAUGUUGAAUUACCCUUAAAAAGUGUUGAAAUAGAGAAAAAAGGAGUUUAUGACAAAGGUUUUGGAAGUUCAGCGGCUACGAGAAGAAGUCUACAUUAAUACAUCUUGUCAUCUAGUAUUUUGAAGAUUUAGGAAUUCCACAAAGACGAGCUCGUAGCUGAGCUCCUUUUUAUGGAUCUGGCUACCAGAAUUGGUGUAGAAUGCCUCACGAAUCCCGUAAAUCUACUCAUGAUACACGAUUUUCCUGCA
This is a non-coding RNA of Physcomitrium patens, 1387 nucleotides long. The record is from RefSeq and is a predicted model, not a curated record. NCBI's taxonomy places the organism in Eukaryota, Viridiplantae, Streptophyta, Bryopsida, Funariales, Funariaceae.